Molecule: ribosomal RNA, 264 nt
Filed under: uncultured bacterium
Lineage: Bacteria
Description: partial 16S ribosomal RNA
Rfam family: Bacterial small subunit ribosomal RNA
Source: RNAcentral
GACGAACGCUGGCGGCGUGCUUAACACAUGCAAGUCACGGGGGCUCGGCAACGAGCAACCGGCGAACGGGUGCGUAACACGUGAGCAACCUGCCUUUGUGUGGGGGAGUAGCCGGGCUAACGCCCGGGUAAUACCGCAUACGGUUCUCGAGGGGAGUCCCUUGGGAAAGAAACCUCCGGGCGACAGAGAGGGGCUCGCGGCCUAUCAGCUUGUUGGCGGGGUAAUGGCCCACCAAGGCGACGACGGGUAGCGGUCUGAGAGGAU